RNAcentral lists this transfer RNA (72 nucleotides) under archaeon. RNAcentral describes it as "tRNA-Val". It matches the Rfam family "tRNA". Rfam says of the family: Transfer RNA (tRNA) molecules are approximately 80 nucleotides in length. Their secondary structure includes four short double-helical elements and three loops (D, anti-codon, and T loops). The record is from RNAcentral.
GGUCUCAUAGUCCAACGGCUAAGACGAUUCGUUUACACCGAAUAAACCGAGGUUCGAUUCCUCGUGGGACCA